Pungitius pungitius (ninespine stickleback) is the source of this 2786-nucleotide long non-coding RNA. RefSeq lists it as uncharacterized. The transcript has 15 exons. The record is from RefSeq and is a predicted model, not a curated record. NCBI's taxonomy places the organism in Eukaryota, Metazoa, Chordata, Actinopteri, Perciformes, Gasterosteidae.
CACCUAUAAAAAUAUAUAUAUAUAUAAAUACACUUAUACCCACUAAAAUAUAAAUAUACACAAAGACACACUAAUACACCUAUAAAAAUAUAUAUAUAUAUAAAUAUAAAUACACGUAUACCCACUAAAAUAUAGAUAUACACAAAGACACACUAAUACACCUAUAAAAAUGAAAAAAUAUAUAUAUAUAAAUACACUUAUACCCACUAAAAUAUAGAUAUACACAAAGACACACUAAUACACCUAUAAAAAUAAAAAUAUAUAUAUAUAAAUACACUUAUACCCCCUAAAAUAUAUAUAUAUAUAUAUAUAUAUAAUACAAAUAUAUAUACAUGUAAUAUAUACAUGAAUUUAUAUAUACGUAUGACCCUCAUUCAGCGUCCAGCCCAGCAGUCACUGGUAAGCUCAUCGUGUCAAACUGUACUUUACAUGUCAUUCAGCUGACGCCUUUUAAAGAGACAAAGACUGGUCAGUGAGGACCACAAACAAGACAAACAAGAUGACGAUACAAGCUCAUCAUCCGACGAGAGCAUCCCAACACUCGUCAGAAUAUCGUGGGCCGAAAAACGAAGCCUCACGCUCAAUGUAGCGUCCAUCUCAGCAGUCACCGGGAGCUGCAACAUCUCUGUGGAGGUCGUUGGCAAGAGAGGCGUCAAGAGGAAGGUCGCCACUGCUGAGGCAGGACCAAGCAGAAAGAGUCAAAGACUGAACAGCAAGGACCGGAUCAAAACCAACCACGAAGAGUUGGAGGCCAAAUAUGAGCAACUGGGCCUCCUCGGUGCAGGAGGAUGUGGAAAUGUGUACGCCGGCCUCCGCAGGGCCGACAACCUUCCCGUUGCCAUCAAACACAUCCUGAAUGAUAACGUCCACUGCACACAUACGGACGACGAAGGCAACACAAUUUCCAUAGAGAUCGCCAUCAUGUUGCAGCUGGCGGGCCGAAUCUGAGGGGGCAUCGCCAUACCUUACCCUGCUGGACUGGUACCAGUUGGAGGGGAAGCUGGUGAUGGUGAUCGAGAGGCCCAUCCCCGCUACGGAUUUAUUUGACCAUAUCAUGGCCAAAGGAGGCUCCGUGAAGGAAAAAGAAGCCAAGGUUAGAGACAGAGAAGACAAGUCUGCGCCGUUUUCUACCUCCCAUGCACUACUACACGUCAAAAUGCUGGUCCAGGUGAAGUACAGCCAACAGCAGAAGAAUGUAAAUGAGGAUGAGGACGAAGGACUGUUUGACUUUCUGCAAUUCCAUUAAAAAGUCAUGGAGAGAUUUGGCCUGCCACCUGAUGCAAAUGUUAUAUACAAGGAUGCAACAGGGACAGAAGUUGAUGGAGAAAUAUUCAGCGAACUCGUUGGACAAGGCAAUGUGGUCCUGACAGUUUUCUCGGAUCAGGAAUUCUCUGAUCUCUCCUUGUCUUCUGAGACGUCUGACUCAAGCUUCAGCUCAAGUGCAUCAACUAUAAUCCUAGAUGUUCCUAACAAGAGACAAAGAAUUGAGGAAACACGUGACGCUGUGUCUGCUAAACAGGCACUGCCCCACUAAAACAAUCAGAGAAGAUUAUGCACGUGGGAUAGUGAUGCUGUUCCCUUCCCUCAAGGAUCCAUACUCCAAGAAGGGCUAUCUCUCUCCUAUUUGACGAAGACACAUCCUCCAGGCUUCUUCAGAAAUGGGAUUUGGUCUUCAAGACAAAUGUCAUUAAAGAGGCUAAGCGACUCACCUCAACACCAGAGUUGAGUCGCUUGGUGCAGUCAGCAGAAAGUCCCCCAGGAAGUGAUCUUGAUGAGGCAACAACCUACGACCAAGAAAUGGCCUCCCUGUUGUUGCUGUUGCAUCUCCUUCCACCACCUCCAGGGGGACUGAAGUCUCCAAAAAUUAGUGCAUGUGAUGCAGUUGAAAGACUUGUUGUCUUUCACAAGUCAUGCUGCAGUUUGGAGGAGCAUCUCCGCAACCAGCAGGGUCGGCAGCCUUGCAAUCUUGCUCUUCUGACGCCCAACAGAGAGGAGGUACUCUGUACUCCUCUCUGUUGGGCGUCAGAAGAGCAAGAUUGACAGCUUCUACAUCACCAUGGAUAAGCGUCUCAUCCCAUGCAAGGCAAACCGCUCCCUCGGGGCAUGUGAUGAACUUUUCGAAGCACAUUUUGUGUUUAAGUAAAGCUUAAGCGAUAGUUCUGGAAGGAAGACUCCCCCUUUCACGCUGUCAUUUCAGGUCGGACCAGACGCAACCCUCCUCCACCCCAGGCACCUCCGGUCUAACAACAGGCAGCAUCGGCCACUACAACUUCCUGGUGUCACCACCACCACCCGUGUCUGGACUCUAGGGGGGGAAUUCUGGAGGAGCCGUACUGUGUCGCCUCCCCCGAUUAUCCUGUUCGAGGAUAGAGUCCAAAUCGCCAAAGACUAUAAUUCUGUUUCAUACGUAAUAAAGGGGUCUAUUUGCAGAACGAGUCUCUCCUGAUUGAAUUUGUCUUACGAUGUGGCACUUGUGAAUUUUUAUACAUUCCUGAAGACAGAAGUCUUUUUUCAAAUAAGUGAUGUACUUUUGGUUGAAGAUUACUUAUUUUUUUUGACAAACAAGCUAUUUACAGAGAAUUUUGAUGACCAUCAUCAUGCAUUCAGAGUAUUACGAAGUGCGGAAAGAUGUUUACUAAAAAUGUCUGAGCUUAAAUUUCGUAAACCGUUUGAUAUUCAAAGCUCAUACAACGUUUCGGAUGAAAGUUUGUACAUUAUACCUUCAUUCACAAUGUUUUAAUUCAACUGACUGCAAGGGAGAAAAGGAAUAAAUGUUUUUGAAAAUG